Molecule: ribosomal RNA, 451 nt
Filed under: uncultured bacterium
Lineage: Bacteria
Description: SSU rRNA
Rfam family: Bacterial small subunit ribosomal RNA
Source: RNAcentral
AGGAUGAACGCUGGCGGCGUGCCUAAAACAUGCAAGUCAUACGGGCUACCUUCGGGUAGCCAGUGGCAAACGGGUGAGUAACACGUGGGAACGCGCCUUGGGGUGGGGAAUAACGCUGAGAAAUCAGUGCUAAUACCGCAUAUGGUCUAACGACUAAAGCAGCAAUGCGCCCCGAGAGCGGCCCGCGACCGAUUAGCUAGUUGGUGGGGUAAUGGCCUACCAAGGCGGUGAUCGGUAGCUGGUCUGAGAGGAUGGUCAGCCACACUGGGACUGCGAGCGGCCCAGACUCCUACGGGAGGCAGCAGUUAGGAAUUUUCGGCAAUGGACGAAAGUCUGACCGAGCGACGCCGCGUGGAGGAUGACGCCUUUCGGGGUGUAAACUCCUUUUCUGCGGGAAGAUAAUGACGGUACCGCAGGAAUAAGCACCGGCUAACUACGCGCCAGCAGCCGC